Molecule: long non-coding RNA, 1429 nt
Filed under: Monodelphis domestica (gray short-tailed opossum)
Lineage: Eukaryota; Metazoa; Chordata; Mammalia; Didelphimorphia; Didelphidae
Description: lncRNA (ENSMODG00000038698.1)
Source: RNAcentral
AUGAGGAAAUGGCAAACCAUUCCAGUGUGUACUUGCCAAGAAAACCCCAUCCCCUGGGGAUCCAUUUCCCUAUACUUUUCUGUCUCUAGAAUCUCAGAUCACUGUCAUUGUUAUAGGAAUGUAGGAUUCAGAACUGGGAGGACUAUUUCAGAAAAGGAAACCAAGAUGGAGAGAGGCAAAUGGUUUGUUAAAAGUUGCAUAAAUAAGAAAUUAAAAAGUUCAAAAUUUAUUCCAGCUGCUCCAAUGACAAAUCUAGUGCUCUUUCCAACACAUCAGAGGCUUGUAAAGUUAAAAAAAUAUUACCAUUCUAUCCCUUCACCUCUGGUAGCUAAAGCAAUUCAACCUCUUUUUGGAAGCCCCUUCAAGCUGAAAAAGGAAAAGAGAAACAUCUUACUUUGGAUGUCUGACUCAGUGCAGGCCCCUGGGUGACUCAUUGUAAUACCGAGCUUCUUUCUUCUGGGAGAUGGGAUUUUUUCCCCUUUCUUUUCCCAGAAAGAGCCUACAGACAUCCCAGUUAAUCUUAGGAUUAUAGUUAUUAUAUAAGGAUUGAAUCCUACUUUGAAUCCUCAUUAAAAACAGAAUUAUAGAAUCUAAGAUUUGGAAGGGACUUUGGUGGCUAUUUAGUCUAAUCUUUUAGCAAAAGGAGAAACCACAAAGUGGCCAUUUGGCCUUUGCUAGAAGACAUAUAGACAAUAUAGCUGCUCUGUUAUGACACAUAUAUAAAUUUUUCCAGUCCAUAAUCAUCUAUUCCAGAAACUUCUAGUUUUUUUGAGGUGAAAGUGAGACUCCAAUACAGUUGAGUAGUGUUUUGAGUUACAAAAACUUAUCUUGAUUAACUGGUCUGUUUUUGCUAAUUAAUUUUUAUUCCAAAGCAUAUACUAUGUGCCAGGAAUUAUGUUAGGUAUGCAGAAAACAAAGGCAAAUAUGAAAUAGUUUCUGCCUUCAAGUAGUUUAUGACCAAAUGGUCUUGACUGUCAAGGGAAUAUUGACCUUUAUAAUGUACCCAAGGAAAUACCAGAUUGGAACUGAGUGAACAAGAGUUUGUAAGCCAGUGAAAGGAUAACAAUAAUACCCUAUUUAGAAAUGGAGAAUAUUGAUAAAUUGGAGAUUGGUCAUAACAGUGCCUUGAAGAUGGUGUAGGUCUUUGAGAUCUCACCAUCAAAGGAUUGAAUAGAGUCAGAGAAUUCAAGCUUUUAAAAUUUCUUCUCAAUUACAUGUGAACAAAAACUGUAAACAUUCACUAAAAUUAAUCCUUAUCUUCCAUCUUAGAACCAAUACUGUAAAGAAUAAUUUAAAAAGCAUGCUUUGAUAUGCAUUCACACUCUAUCAGUUCUUUCUCCAAAGGUGGAUAGUAUUUAAAAAAAUCCUAAGUCCUUCAAAAAAUGUCUUGGAUCAUUGUAUUGCUUAGAAUAGCUAUCAUUCAGCUUAU